CUGCAAGUCGAGCGCCGUAGCAAUACGGAGCGGCAGACGGGAGAGUAACACGUGGGAACGUACCCUUCAGUUCGGAACAACCCCAGGGAAACUUGGGCUGAUACCGGAUACGUCCGUAGGGAGAAAGAUUUAUCGCUGAAGGAUCGGCCCGCGUCUGAUUAGCUUGUUGGUGAGGUAACGGCUCACCAAGGCGACGAUCAGUAGCUGGUCUGAGAGGAUGAUCAGCCUCACUGGGACUGAGACCCGGCCCAGACUCCUACGGGAGGCACAAGUAGGGAAUAUUGGACAAUGGGCGCAAGCCUAAUCCAGCCAUGCCGCGUGGAUGAUGAAGGCCCUAGGGUUGUAAAGUCCUUUCGGCGGGGAAGAUAAUGACGGUACCCGCAGAAGAAGCCCCGGCUAACUUCGUG
Molecule: ribosomal RNA, 407 nt
Filed under: uncultured bacterium
Lineage: Bacteria
Description: bacterial SSU rRNA
Rfam family: Bacterial small subunit ribosomal RNA
Source: RNAcentral